UGCAUUGUGUAACAUGGUAGUGUGUGGUGUAACAUGGUAGUACAUGGUGUAAUAGGGUAGUGCGUGGUGUAAUAGGGUAGCGUGUGGUGUAACAUGGUAGUACGUGGUGUAAUAGGGUAGCGCAUGGUGUAAUAGGGUAGCGCGUGGUGUAACAUGGUAGUACAUGUGUAAUAGGGGUAGUGCAUUGUGUAACAUGGUAGUACAUGGUGUAAUAGGGUAGCGCGUGGUGUAAUAGGGUAGCGCGUGGUGUAACAUGGUAGUACAUGGUGUAAGAGGGUAUUGGAUUGUGUAAUAGGGUAGUGUAAUGCAUUGUGUAACAUGGUAGUACAUGGUUUAAGAGAGUACUGCACAGUGUGCGAGGGUAGUGCAUAGUGUAACAUGGUAGUACAUGGUGUAAGAGUAUAGUGCACAGUGUAAGGCUCUUCAUCUCCCUCCACUGGCUUCCGGUAGCCGCCCGUAGCAAAUUCAAUGCAUUGUUGCUCACGUACAAGACCUUGUCUGGAACAGCACCACCCCACCUCAACACUCCUUGAAGUUUAUGUUCCCUCACGCAACCUGCGCUCGGUUAACCACCGACGCCUGGUAGUGCCUACUCAGCGAGGCAUGAGGUCCCUUUCCAGAACCUUCACACUGACUGUCCCUCAGCGGUGGAAUGAACUUCCAACCUCAACCCGGACAGCAGAAUGUGUCACUUAUCUCCAAAAAACGGCUAAAGACCCACCUCUUCCGUGAGCACUGAACUAUAACCCCUACGUAACCCUAGCUAAGUAUUUUUUUUCCCUGAAUACGGUCGGAAGGUCUUUUUUAGGUGGGAGAUACAGGCUUCAUGUUUACUUUCCUGCACAGUGUGCUUGAUUGAACUGAUUGGCCAAUAGCCAAAAAUGUGCAGCAUUCCGGAAACCGCUAACCUUCAACAAAGCGGUGAAUCUUAAGCACAAACGCUGUUUGCCUGUGGUUAGUCACUUUAAGCUGCUUCACACCGUUUGACCUGAAAAGAGCCCCAGCUGCAGAUGGAAUCGCUCUGUCUUUCCUUCCUUCCUCUCCCACUCUCCGUAAGAGCAAUCGGAGGGGAAACGGACGCGGAGGAAUGCGCUGAAGAAUCCGGAUGUCCGUUCCCAGACCCGACAUGCCACUGUGCAUCCUCAGCAGCAUUUUUAUGCUUAUUCUUUUUGGCAGACGGCUUUUAACCGAGACACGUUACGAGCGAAAGAGGAUAGAGGCCAAGCACAAAGCUGAUACGUUCUCGCUCAAGGGCGCAACUCUGGUAGAUCUUGGACUUGGCCUCACCGCCUUGUGGUCACUAAUAGAGAACUUUGACGGCGCUCCGACUGCCUCCCUCACUGGCAACAGUACAAUCCAGUACAGGUCAGGUCUGAUUUUAAGAAUCCAGAAUCCAGAGAUGCCAAAUUGUACAGUUUAGUCUGGAGUCAUAUGAAAGACUUUUGGCAGCGCUUAUUUUGGCUUCCGACGUAAUCUAUAUCAAAUUCGACCUGUGGAUUGACAAGCCUCGGGCUUGUGAGCCAAUAGAAACCAAGUGGGCGGGGUUGUGGUCUCUUCGGUCCCUAAAAAUUGGAGGAACUCUUACUAAAAAAAAAAGCCACCAAAUCCACCAACAUGUGCAAGGGCUUUUUGUGGUUGCGAUGUAUUUUAUUCUCCCCGCGCGCUUGGAUUUUCUCGUUAGAAUAUCGGCACCUCGGCGAAUCCGACCCGGAGUCGCUCGGUCCUUCAGAGAUACCCGCACAUUAUAUUUAUCCGUCGGUGAGCGGUAAUUAAAUGCCGCGAUGCGGAUCGACCUCGGCAGAGUACGAGCUAACGCGGGAUCGCUUUCCCGGGUUUCUCCGUCGACGGACUCAUUUCGACCCGAAAUUCACCGCGGUAAUUCACCGUGACAUGCUUCCCCUCGAAGCAAA
Molecule: long non-coding RNA, 1910 nt
Organism: Ictalurus punctatus (channel catfish)
Lineage: Eukaryota; Metazoa; Chordata; Actinopteri; Siluriformes; Ictaluridae
Source: Ensembl